CUGCCUACGUUAACAUAAAAAAUUGUUUGUUUAUGAACGAAUUAAUAAAAACUUUAUGAAAGUAACUUAUAACUAUUUUUUAAGUACACUUUUCUGUAAUUUAAGCGUAUUUGUGAUUCAAAUAACACGAAAGUAUAGUUUCCAAAUUUUUGGUAAAAAUGGUGGAUGCGCCGGUCCAUUUUGGGUUUCUUUUAAAUUUCGGUUUUGCUGUGUUUUUCAACGUUUGAGAAAAAUAUUUACAUGUUUUUAUCUAAACGUGUCAUAUUUUAUCGUCUAAAUUCUUAUCAAAUAAUCUAAUUAGAUAAUAAUCUGUUUGACUUGGGCAAAUGAAAUAAAGAUCCGUGGCCGGUUUUUAAUAAUGACGUACUUUUGUAAAUUUGUAUAAAGUUGUGCAAUUAAUUUUAAUACAAAUAACUAUUUCUCCAAUAUCAAGCAAAAAACUGGCCACAAAUGUAAAUGAAGUCGAUUGCCUAAUAAGAAAUAAAAAUAAAAAUAUAUACUCGUAACAGUAAUGAAUUUAUAAAUGUAAUGAAAAGGCGUGGAAACACACCAAAGACAAAAAUACAGACAAUACAAUCUCGAUUUGUCAUUUGUAAAAUAGAUUAAUUGAGCGCUUGAUAUUUUUAGAAUUCAAAAAUUGCCUGUAAUAUGUGGCCACGAAUUCUUUUCCUAUUUGCUACUCACCUGCACAUUUUUAUCUCAAACAGCCACAUUUUGACUAUAUAAAGCAUUAAAAUCGAGACAAUAAUUCAGAAAAUAACGUUGUCUAAUCAUUUCUUGAAGAUGGUUAAGUUAUUAAAGCAAUCUGUGCUAUUUUGGGCCUUGGUCCUCAGCGUCAAAACUGAAGAUAUAAGACGUAACAAUUCAAAAAAUAACAAUCCAGGUUUUUUCGAAGCGGAGAACGUAAGAAAACUAGAAACUGAUGAAAAUUUUGAUGAACAAUUAAAGUUGGGUUCACGGUUUUCACCAGAGAAUGAAGAAAAUCUUCAAAGGAAAUGGGGUCGUAAAAUUGGUUUAGACGAAAACUUAUUGUCUCGUGAUGGUCUGAAUAAACGUGACGGAGAAAACGGAGGAAAAAAUGAAGAAAGAUUUGAUGACAGGCACAUAAAAAUGCAUCGUCCAAAAAAUGCAAAUCAAGAGAGAAAUACAGAAGACAGAAGAAGUAAAAUUGAGGAAAGUGAUGCUCGCCACAAAUUUAUGAAUAAACAAAGUGAAAAAUUACAAAGAGGGACUGAAGAAAGAAUCGACGACAGACAACCACACAGAUGUGGUCAAAAAUUGCAUCGCCCAGAAAAUGUAAAUCGAGGAAAAAUUGAUAAAGAAAACAUAAGAAGCCGUUUCUUAAAUGAAGCAUCAAGAUUAGAAGAACAUUUCAGGGACAACAAUCCUAGAUCCAGAAGAUUUGGUCUGAACACAGAACUUAACAAAAGAUUUAAUGAAAUUAAUUCACGUAGAACUGGUUUAAACGACAGAUUAGCUCGUAAUGAUCCUCACAAAUUCAAGUUUCCAACAGAUCAAGCCGAAAAAUUAGGAAGAAAAAAUCACAACAGAAUUGAAAAAAGACAAAAAGGAAGAAUGCAGCGUCCAGAAGAAGCUAAUCUAGAGAGAAGUACAGACGACAGAAGAAGUAAAAUUGAAGAAAGUGAUGCUCGCCAUAGAUUUAAUCCAGAAUUUCUGAACGAACAACACGAAAAAUUACAAAGACGGACUGAGGAAAGAAAUGACGCCAGACAAUUUCACAGAUUCGGUCAAAAAUUGCGACGUCCAGAGAAUGUAAAUCUCGGAAGACAGGAGAAGUUGGAAAAAUCUGGAUUCAAAACGAGUGGUGGUUUAGAAGAUAAAGAAAAACACGGAAAUGCACCUCCAAAAUUCUAAAUAACUUACUUAUUUUUAUAUUUAUUCAUUUGUAACGACAGGUGUUAAAAAUAAAUUACGUUUUGCCAAG
Long non-coding RNA from Tribolium castaneum (red flour beetle), 1945 nucleotides. RefSeq lists it as uncharacterized. The transcript has 2 exons. Lineage: Eukaryota; Metazoa; Arthropoda; Insecta; Coleoptera; Tenebrionidae. The record is from RefSeq and is a predicted model, not a curated record.